GCCGUCAAUUCCUUUGAGUUUAACCUUGCGGCCGUACUCCCCAGGCGGUCGACUUAUCGCGUUAGCUGCGCCACUAAGAUCUCAAGGAUCCCAACGGCUAGUCGACAUCGUUUACGGCGUGGACUACCAGGGUAUCUAAUCCUGUUUGCUCCCCACGCUUUCGCACCUCAGUGUCAGUAUCAGUCCAGGUGGUCGCCUUCGCCACUGGUGUUCCUUCCUAUAUCUACGCAUUUCACCGCUACACAGGAAAUUCCACCACCCUCUACCGUACUCUAGCUCAGUAGUUUUGGAUGCAGUUCCCAGGUUGAGCCCGGGGAUUUCACAUCCAACUUGCUGAACCACCUACGCGCGCUUUACGCCCAGUAAUUCCGAUUAACGCUUGCACCCUUCGUAUUACCGCGGCUGCUGGCACGAAGUUAGCCGGUGCUUAUUCUGUUGGUAACGUCAAAACAGCAAGGUAUUAACUUACUGCCCUUCCUCCCAACUUAAAGUGCUUUACAAUCCGAAGACCUUCUUCACACACGCGGCAUGGCUGGAUCAGGCUUUCGCCCAUUGUCCAAUAUUCCCCACUGCUGCCUCCCGUAGGAGUCUGGACCGUGUCUCAGUUCCAGUGUGACUGAUCAUCCUCUCAGACCAGUUACGGAUCGUCGCCUUGGUAGGCCUUUACCCCACCAACUAGCUAAUCCGACCUAGGCUCAUCUGAUAGCGUGAGGUCCGAAGAUCCCCCACUUUCUCCCUCAGGACGUAUGCGGUAUUAGCGCCCGUUUCCGGACGUUAUCCCCCACUACCAGGCAGAUUCCUAGGCAUUACUCACCCGUCCGCCGCUGAAUCCAGGAGCAAGCUCCCUUCAUCCGCUCGACUUGCAUGUGUUAGGCCUGCCGCCAGCGUUCAAUCUGAGCCAGGAUCAAACCCUC
This 914-nucleotide ribosomal RNA is filed under the name uncultured bacterium. RNAcentral describes it as "partial 16S ribosomal RNA". The record is from RNAcentral.